Long non-coding RNA from Macrobrachium nipponense, 290 nucleotides. RefSeq lists it as uncharacterized. NCBI's taxonomy places the organism in Eukaryota, Metazoa, Arthropoda, Malacostraca, Decapoda, Palaemonidae. The transcript has 3 exons. The record is from RefSeq and is a predicted model, not a curated record.
UGUUUUUAUCGAUGAAAUGUGUAAAUUUGGCAAAGGAACUGGAUACAACACUGUAGAAACUGGACUGGGGUUGAGUUGCGUCGUCCGACAUACCGACUGUAUUGAUCUUCUGUGUUGACUGCGUUCGAACUACGAAGCAGGUCACUAUGUAAUAGAUCUACAUAAGAUUCUCUAUCAAGCUUAGAAGACCACAUACGUAGGGGAUUUGAAUGAAACAAAAUUACUGUAGCUGUCUUCUUUGACAGUUAAAAGGCAUACAAUACUCCAUAGAGGAAGCAGUUGAAUGCAUC